Molecule: long non-coding RNA, 291 nt
Organism: Lethenteron reissneri (Far Eastern brook lamprey)
Lineage: Eukaryota; Metazoa; Chordata; Hyperoartia; Petromyzontiformes; Petromyzontidae
Source: RefSeq, a predicted model, not a curated record
AGGUGGCUUCCAGCCGUCGCGCGGUCGCCGGACUCAAGCCGACGUUGCCGUGUUCGUUGGAGGUGGGCGCGCGAGGGCUCCGCCUCACGGUGACCGGCGCCCGGCACGCGCCGGCCCCGCAGCGCAACGGCUUCCACAAACACAAGCCGAUCAAGAACUUCAGCCACUUUUUCCAGCUGAAGAAUAUUUCUUUCUGUGGUUUCCACCCCAAAAACCCAUGCUACUUUGGGUUCAUCUGCAAGCACCCAACGGACGGCAGUUUUGCCUGCCACGUGCUCCUCUCCACUCAGU